Molecule: ribosomal RNA, 564 nt
Filed under: uncultured bacterium
Lineage: Bacteria
Description: bacterial SSU rRNA
Rfam family: Bacterial small subunit ribosomal RNA
Source: RNAcentral
CCUACGGGAGGCAGCAGUAGGGAAUAUUGGUCAAUGGGCGAAAGCCUGAACCAGCAACGCCGCGUGCGCGAUGAAGGCCUUCGGGUCGUAAAGCGCUUUUGGGAGGGAUGAAAAUGACAGUACCUCCCGAAUAAGGAUCGGCUAACUACGUGCCAGCAGCCGCGGUAAGACGUAGGAUCCAAGCGUUAUCCGGAAUUACUGGGCGUAAAGGGCGUGUAGGAGGUUGGGCAAGUCGGCCAUGAAAGCUCCCGGCUCAACUGGGAGAGGCUGGUCGAUACUGCCUGGCUAGAGGGCAAGAGAGGGAGGUGGAAUUCCCGGUGUAGUGGUGAAAUGCGUAGAUAUCGGGAGGAACACCAGUGGCGAAGGCGGCCUCCUGGCUUGUACCUGACUCUGAAACGCGAAAGCAUGGGUAGCAAACAGGAUUAGAAACCCUGGUAGUCCAUGCCAUAAACGAUGUCAACUGGGUGUCGGCGAAGUAAAAUUUGUACGGUGCCGAAGCUAACGCGUUAAGUUGACCGCCUGAGGACUACGAUCGCAAGAUUAAAACNCAAAGGAAUUAGACGG